AUGGUUUUGUAUUGAACGGCAUUGAAAGUAAUACAUCAUUUUUUUCAGUUUAAUAUCUAAUACGUCCCCCAUCGGGGGACUACAUAUUAAAUAGAUUUUUCGAACAGGGAGUCGGAAAUGGGGCUUGCUCCGUCCGCUCCACGCAUCGACCCGGUAUUGCAGUACCUCCGGGAACGGUGCAAUACAU
This is a small nuclear RNA of Salvelinus namaycush (lake trout), 187 nucleotides long. RefSeq annotates it as U2 spliceosomal RNA. Lineage: Eukaryota; Metazoa; Chordata; Actinopteri; Salmoniformes; Salmonidae. The record is from RefSeq and is a predicted model, not a curated record. The transcript has a single exon.